AUGGCGAAGCUCGAAGGCGGCAGCAAGGAUGUUGACGAAGCCAUGGAGAGGUGGCACAACCGUUCCUUGGGCCACCGGCUGUACGACGCCUUCACCGUAGCCGGCCUCCGCGUGGAGACCAUCGAACCCGGCCGCCUCCUCUGCUCCUUCAUGGUCCCUCCUCGCCUCACGUCGAGCGCCAGCAACCGCAUGCAUGGAGGCGCGGUGGCGUCGCUGGUGGACCUGGUGGGGUCUGCUGUGUUCUUCGCCGGCGGCUCGCCGGUGACGGGGGUCUCACUGGAUAUCACCGUCUCCUACCUGGGCGCCGCCCGUGCAAACGAGGAGAUCGAGAUCGAGGCUCGGGUGCUCGGCAUUGGCGACAAGACGGGGUGCGUGACCGUGGAGGUGAGGAGGAAGGACACCGGCCAGGUGCUCGCGCACGGCCGCCACACCAAGUAUCUCGCCAACGUCUCCAGUAAACUGUGA
RNAcentral lists this ribosomal RNA (465 nucleotides) under Triticum aestivum (bread wheat). Its description in RNAcentral is "partial small subunit ribosomal RNA". Lineage: Eukaryota; Viridiplantae; Streptophyta; Magnoliopsida; Poales; Poaceae. The record is from RNAcentral.